RNAcentral lists this ribosomal RNA (242 nucleotides) under Enterococcus faecium. Its description in RNAcentral is "partial 16S ribosomal RNA". It matches the Rfam family "Bacterial small subunit ribosomal RNA", at positions 939 to 1183 of the family's 1533-position model. Lineage: Bacteria; Bacillati; Bacillota; Bacilli; Lactobacillales; Enterococcaceae. The record is from RNAcentral.
AUGUGGUUUAAUUCGAAGCAACGCGAAGAACCUUACCAGGUCUUGACAUCCUUUGACCACUCUAGAGAUAGAGCUUCCCCUUCGGGGCAAAGUGACAGGUGGUGCAUGGUUGUCGUCAGCUCGUGUCGUGAGAUGUUGGGUUAAGUCCCGCAACGAGCGCAACCCUUAUUGUUAGUUGCCAUCAUUCAGUUGGGCACUCUAGCAAGACUGCCGGUGACAAACCGGAGGAAGGUGGGGAUGAC